Molecule: non-coding RNA, 375 nt
Filed under: Salmonella enterica
Lineage: Bacteria; Pseudomonadati; Pseudomonadota; Gammaproteobacteria; Enterobacterales; Enterobacteriaceae
Also listed under: 1 other name
Source: RNAcentral
GAAGCUGACCAGACAGUCGCCGCUUCGUCGUCGUCCUUUCGGGGAGACGGGCGGAGGGGAGGAAAGUCCGGGCUCCAUAGGGCAGGGUGCCAGGUAACGCCKGGGGGGGAAACCCACGACCAGUGCAACAGAGAGCAAACCGCCGAUGGCCCACGUAAGUGGGAUCAGGUAAGGGUGAAAGGGUGCGGUAAGAGCGCACCGCGCGGCUGGUAACAGUCCGUGGCACGGUAAACUCCACCCGGAGCAAGGCCAAAUAGGGGUUCAUAAGGUACGGCCCGUACUGAACCCGGGUAGGCUGCUUGAGCCAGUGAGCGAUUGCUGGCCUAGAUGAAUGACUGUCCACGACAGAACCCGGCUUAUCGGUCAGUUUCACUU